This 465-nucleotide ribosomal RNA is filed under the name Triticum aestivum (bread wheat). Its description in RNAcentral is "partial small subunit ribosomal RNA". The record is from RNAcentral. Lineage: Eukaryota; Viridiplantae; Streptophyta; Magnoliopsida; Poales; Poaceae.
AUGGCGCAGGAGAGCUGUGAUCUCAACAAGGACGAGGCCGAGAUCCUGAAGCCAUCCUCCUCCACACCUUCGCCUCCUUCCCCAACCACACCACCACCACCAACCGCUCAAAUACCAGAACCGCAACCUCCACAGUCGCCACCACAACCACCGGCAGCUCAAUUCUUGUCCAGGCCCUGUGAAGUUGUUCACAUAGAGACUUCCAAAAAGAGGAAACAUGCUGAUGCGGUGUCAAUGGCCAUGGCGGCUGCGCCAUUGUCGCCUGUGCUGUUUGUUAACCGUUGCAACGUGUGCCGCAAGAGAGUUGGUUUGACCGGGUUUCGUUGCCGGUGCGAGAAGCUCUUUUGUCCGCGCCACCGGCAUUCAGAAAGCCACGACUGCUCAUUUGAUUAUAAAACUGCGGGCCGGGAGGAGAUUGCCCGGGCAAACCCUCUUAUCAGGGCUGCCAAGAUCAUUAGGAUAUGA